CCACAUCAUGUUAAAAUACCAGUUCCCAUACAAUCACCAAAGUUAAGCAACGUUGAGCCUGGUCAGUACCUAGAUGGGUGACCACUUGGAAAUACCAGGUGAUGUAAG
Non-coding RNA from Acanthosepion pharaonis, 108 nucleotides. NCBI's taxonomy places the organism in Eukaryota, Metazoa, Mollusca, Cephalopoda, Sepiida, Sepiidae. The record is from the annotation of a GenBank genome assembly.